RNAcentral lists this unclassified non-coding RNA (267 nucleotides) under plant metagenome. RNAcentral describes it as "partial contains small subunit ribosomal RNA, internal transcribed spacer 1, and 5.8S ribosomal RNA". The record is from RNAcentral.
UUUCCGUAGGUGAACCUGCGGAAGGAUCAUUAUCGUACAAAAUGUGAGGGGCAUGCGAGGGCUGUCGCUGACCCAAAAGUCGUGCACGCCCGAGUGUGUCCUCUUGCAUAAUAAUCCCUCUCACCCUUUGUGCAUCACCGCGUGGGCACCCUUCGGGAUCGUCUCGGAGGGGGGCUCGCGUUUUCACACAAUACCCCCUUUUAAAAGUGUAGAAUGACCACAUUUAUGCAAUCAAUACAACUUUCAACAACGGAUCUCUUGGCUCUC